RNAcentral lists this ribosomal RNA (459 nucleotides) under uncultured bacterium. Its description in RNAcentral is "partial 16S ribosomal RNA". It matches the Rfam family "Bacterial small subunit ribosomal RNA", at positions 338 to 795 of the family's 1533-position model. The record is from RNAcentral.
CCUACGGGAGACUGCAGUGAGGAAUAUUGGUCAAUGGGAGAGAUCCUGAACCAGCCAAGCCGCGUGAGGGAAGACGGCCCUAUGGGUUGUAAACCUCUUUUGUCGGAGAACAAAACCCGGGACGUGUCCCGGACUGCGUGUAUCCGAAGAAUAAGCUUCGGCUAACUCCGUGCCAGCAGCCGCGGUAAUACGGAGGAUGCGAGCGUUAUCCGGAUUUAUUGGGUUUAAAGGGUGCGUAGGCGGUCCGUUAAGUCAGCGGUAACAUUGCGGGGCUCAACCCCGUCGAGCCGUUGAAACUGGCAGACUUGAGUUGGCUAGAAGUACGCGGAAUGCGCGGUGUAGCGGUGGAAUGCAUAGAUAUCGCGCAGAACUCCGAUUGCGAAGGCAGCGUACCGGCGCCAGACUGACGCUGAGGCACGAAAGCGUGGGGAUCGAACAGGAUUAGAUACCCCUGUAGUC